GGUGCGAUUUUGGGCGACGAGUGGCGGACGGGUGAGUAAUGCUUAGGAAUCUGCCCAGUAGCGGGGAUAGCUCGGGGAAACUCGAAUUAAUACCGCAUACGCCCUACGGGGGAAAGCAGGGGAUCUUCGGACCUUGCACUAUUGGAUGAGCCUAAGUCAGAUUAGCUUGUUGGUGGGGUAAUGGCCUACCAAGGCGACGAUCUGUAGCUGGUCUGAGAGGACGAUCAGCCACACUGGGACUGAGACACGGCCCAGACUCCUACGGGAGGCAGCAGUGGGGAAUAUUGGACAAUGGGGGCAACCCUGAUCCAGCAAUGCCGCGUGUGUGAAGAAGGCCUGCGGGUUGUAAAGCACUUUCAGUAAGGAAGAAAUCCUCAGGGUUAAUACCCCUGUGGCUUGACAUUACUUACAGAAGAAGCACCGGCUAACUCCGUGCCAGCAGCCGCGGUAAUACGGAGGGUGCGAGCGUUAAUCGGAAUUACUGGGCGUAAAGCGCGCGUAGGUGGCUUGGUCAGUCGGAUGUGAAAGCCCCGGGCUUAACCUGGGAAUUGCAUUCGAUACUGCCUGGCUAGAGUAUGAUAGAGGAAAGUGGAAUUCCCGGUGUAGCGGUGAAAUGCGUAGAUAUCGGGAGGAACAUCAGUGGCGAAGGCGACUUUCUGGAUCAAUACUGACACUGAGGUGCGAAAGCGUGGGUAGCAAACAGGAUUAGAUACCCUGGUAGUCCACGCCCUAAACGAUGUCAACUAGCCGUUGGGUUCAUUUAAGGACUUAGUGGCGCAGCUAACGCGUUAAGUUGACCGCCUGGGGAGUACGGCCGCAAGGUUAAAACUCAAAGGAAUUGACAGG
This 846-nucleotide ribosomal RNA is filed under the name uncultured bacterium. RNAcentral describes it as "bacterial SSU rRNA". It matches the Rfam family "Bacterial small subunit ribosomal RNA", at positions 68 to 917 of the family's 1533-position model. The record is from RNAcentral.